Molecule: transfer RNA, 72 nt
Filed under: bacterium
Lineage: Bacteria
Description: tRNA-Gly
Rfam family: tRNA
About the family: Transfer RNA (tRNA) molecules are approximately 80 nucleotides in length.
Source: RNAcentral
GCGGGAGUAGCUCAGUUGGUAGAGCUCCAGCCUUCCAAGCUGGUUGCGCGGGUUCGAAUCCCGUCUCCCGCU